UUGGAGUAUUUGUUAUGUCUUUGUUUAGUCAUGAUUGGGUUGAUUUCGUGUUGGAUCAGUUGAAAACGAGUUUAUUGAUAUUUUUGGUGAUCUACAAAAACUGUAUCGAAUCUGAGACGGUGGUGAUUAUUGCAAGAGCUCACCUUUCACAAUCAAAGAUUGUUCAUCAUUUACGGGUUUACACUUUCGGCAUGUCUAUAGCUGGUAUCCGGCAUGUAGAUAGCUGGGGUGCUUUCGGCAAGUCUAUAGCUGGUAUUCGGCAUG
RNAcentral lists this long non-coding RNA (264 nucleotides) under Daucus carota (carrot). Its description in RNAcentral is "long non-coding RNA (DCAR_LNC001690)". The record is from RNAcentral. Lineage: Eukaryota; Viridiplantae; Streptophyta; Magnoliopsida; Apiales; Apiaceae.